AACCAUUCUCACCUGCGGCUAGACCUGCGGAAGGAUCAUUACCGAGUUUACAACUCCCAAACCCCUGUGAACAUACCACUUGUUGCCUCGGCGGAUCAGCCCGCUCCCGGUAAAACGGGACGGCCCGCCAGAGGACCCCUAAACUCUGUUUCUAUAUGUAACUUCUGAGUAAAACCAUAAAUAAAUCAAAACUUUUAGCAACGGAUCU
RNAcentral lists this unclassified non-coding RNA (208 nucleotides) under soil metagenome. RNAcentral describes it as "partial contains 5.8S ribosomal RNA, internal transcribed spacer 2, and large subunit ribosomal RNA". The record is from RNAcentral.